GUUUCCGUAGUGUAGUGGUUAUCGCCAAAGUCCUUAUGUCUCUGUUAUCACGUUCGCCUAACACGCGAAAGGUCCCCGGUUCGAGACCGGGCGGAAACA
Molecule: non-coding RNA, 99 nt
Organism: Scomber japonicus (chub mackerel)
Lineage: Eukaryota; Metazoa; Chordata; Actinopteri; Scombriformes; Scombridae
Source: the annotation of a RefSeq genome assembly